Homo sapiens (human) is the source of this 8336-nucleotide long non-coding RNA. Ensembl annotates it as CENPB DNA-binding domains containing 2, pseudogene. Its record names the gene CENPBD2P. Lineage: Eukaryota; Metazoa; Chordata; Mammalia; Primates; Hominidae. The record is from Ensembl.
GGCCGUCGCCAGGCAACCUUCCCCCUUCGCGGCCGAGAUGGACCCUGGGCUCGGCGUCCUCCGGAAAACUGCACUGUGAGGCGGGGCGAUGGGGAAGGGCCGAAGCCCCGCCAGCCCAGCUAAAGCAGACGGCUCGCACUGCGACCCGAAGCGCGAGUCAUGGCUGGGGCCUUAGUGGCAACAAGUGCUGAGAUCAGCGGGCUCAGUAGCAGGAACACAAGCACCCCCUUGCGGUGUCUGGAGGAAGCGGCGCGGACAGUCUCCCGCUCCACCGUGUCGGGCCUGAAGAGGCCGCUGAACGCUCGCGAUUACUGAGGCAUCUGGUAGGAUCGCAAGGCCAUCAACCUACAGGUGAAGCUCGAGGCGCUGUGGCGCUUUGAAGCCGGAGAGAAGCUCAGUAGAAUCGGGAAGGCGCUGGGGCUGUCCAACUCCACCUUGGCCACCAUUCGUGACAACAAGGAAAAGAUCUGGGCGAGUUCCCAGGAGGCCACACUGCAGGCGGCCACCAAGUUGACGCGUGGCCGCAGCCUGGUGAUGGAGAACAUGGAGCAGCUGCUGAGCAUGCGGAUGGAGGACCAGAGCCAGCGCAACAUGCCCCUCAGUGUGGUGCUCAUUCGGGAGAAAGCCCACAGCCCGUUCGAGAACCGCAAGCAGGAGCAGGGCGAGGGCGCCUAGCCCGAGAGCUUCGGGGCCGGUCGAGGGUGAUUCGCUGGCUUUAAGGCGCGCCACAGCUUGAGCAGCAUCGGGGCCAGCGGCCCAAGAACGCAGCGUGCAAGAAUCCAGCGUUAAUGCGCAGGGUGAUCCCGGAGGGCGGCUACACACUCUGGCUGGUGUUCACCAUGAAUAAGCUCUGGCUGGUGUUCACCAUGAAUAAGCCCAGGUUCCUCUGUAAGCGCCUGCCGAGAGGACGUUCAUUUUCCUGUGGAAGAUGAGUCGGCCCCUGGGUCAAAGCCGCCGGAGACCUCCUGACCCUAUUGCUCGGUGGCAACGCAGCCGGCGACUUCAAGCUGAAGGCCCUGCUGGGGUACCCCUCGGAGAACCCGUGUUUCCUCAAGGGCUCCUUCAAGCCCAACCUGCCCUUGGUGUGGUGCUCGCACAAGAAAGCCUGGGUACAGCCUGGGUGACAGAGCGAGACUCCGUCUCAAAAAAAAAAAAAAAAGCCUGGGUAACCAUGAGCCUCUUCCAGGAGUGGUUCCUGCACUUCUGCUCUACAGUGGAGGGCGCUGCACCCAGUACGACCUUCCCUACAAGGGGCUGCCCAUCCUGGACAGCACUCCCGGCCACCCUGGGUGUUGAGACAGAGUCUGGCUCUGUCGCGCAGGCUGGAGUGCGGUGGCGCGAUCUCGGCUCACUGCAACCUCCGCCUCCCGGGUUCACGCCAUUCUCCUGCCUCAGCCUCCCAGGUAGCUGGGACUACAGGCGCCCGCCACCACGCCCGGCUAAUUUUUUUGUAUUUUUAGUAGAGACGGGGUUUCACCGUGUUAGCCAGAAUGGUCUCGGUCUCCUGACCCCAUGAUCCACCCGCCUUGGCGUCCCAAAGUGCUGGGAUUACAGGCGUGAGCCAUGGUGCCUGGCCCUUUAAUUCCCCCAAUAUUUUUUUAUCUGCAUUAAUUUAUUAUUUCAAGUGAACUUCCAUCUCAAAUACAUGGUUCUCAGACGCUUCCAUGAACUCUCAAGUGUGACUUAUUACAGCCUGGGGCUCCUUGGAGCACAGUGUGCCAGUGACCUAGUGGAAGGCCAUGAGAAAGCCAGGUUCACUGUUCACUGUGCAGCAUCUCCCUCCAUGGUCUUCCUGGAGCCUAUUCCCACUGCACUGAGCAUUCCGUGUGUCCAGAGGUAGGGUUAGCAGGGAUAGAUGGACUUCCUGCUUAUUUUCUGUUCACAUUUCCACUGACCUUCAAUCCUGUAGACUGCAAAGAUUGAGCCAGCUGAGCCCCCAAAGAGACUCAGCAGUGCAGAAUGUGGGCCUGAGUGGGAGGACUGCCCAGCCGCACACCUUCCAGCUCUGUUCUUCCCGGGCCCUGGAUGCUUCUUGCCACGCUGUCCUCUGAAAUGACGCUCUGCCCCAGCAGACCUGUGACGGCACCGAAAGCGAAGGAAGCUCCUGCUCCUCCUAAAGCCGAAGCCAAAGCGAAGGCUUUAAAGGCCAAGAAGGCAGUGUUGAAAGGUGUCCGCAGCCACACGCAAAAAAGAAGAUCCGCAUGUCACUCACCUUCAGGCGGCCCAAGACACUGCGACUCCGGAGGCAGCCCAGAUAUCCUCGGAAGAGCACCCCCAGGAGAAACAAGCUUGGCCACUAUGCUAUCAUCAAGUUUCCGCUGACCACUGAGUCGGCCGUGAAGAAGAUAGAAGAAAACAACACGCUUGUGUUCACUGUGGAUGUUAAAGCCAACAAGCACCAGAUCAGACAGGCUGUGAAGAAGCUCUAUGACAGUGAUGUGGCCAAGGUCACCACCCUGAUUUGUCCUGAUAAAGAGAAGAAGGCAUAUGUUCGACUUGCUCCUGAUUAUGAUGCUUUCGAUGUUGUAACAAAAUUGGGAUCACCUAAACUGAGUCCAGCUGGCUAACUCUAAAUAUAUGUGUAUCUUUUCAGCAUAAAAAAAUAAUGUUUUUCAUAAGAAUGACAACUUAAUUAGAAUCAAAUCUAUAAGCUUUAAGAUUUUACGUUUCUAGUAAGUAUAAUAUUAGCUUAUUUGACUAGAACUCAAGCAGAAUAGGAAUUUAUGCUUGUUUUAUAUUCAAUAAUGAUAAUUUUGAAGAUAUAGUUGUUUUAUUACACCAAAAAUACUAUAUUAAUCUUAUUUAACUAAGUUUUAUCCAAAUCAUGUUAACUUAAGAAACAUUUGAUCAGUUCCUAUAUUUCUAGGAGUUUGGUGAAUAUUUAUUUAUAAAUGCUUAUUUUUUUCCAAGCCAAGUUAGAAUAGAGCACUUUUAGAGGAUUUCAUAAAUGAAUUUUGUAAUGCUCUCUGGAGUUAAGAAAAUAUCACAUAUACAUAACAUACAUUAAUAGAUACACAAACACAAAUAGAGAUUUCAUAGCUUUCAUCCUGAAAUUUCAGCCAUGAAUCAGGCAUAAAUAUUCUGAUGGUUAAUUUCAGACAUCUACUUGAUCGGAUUGAGAGACACACAUAGCUGGUCAAACACGAUUUCAGCCAUGAAUCAGGCAUAAAUAUUCUGAUGGUUAAUUUUAGACAUCUACUUGAGUGGAUUAAGAGACACACAUAGCUGGUCAAACAUGAUUUCAGCCAUGAAUCAGCCAUAAAUAUUCUGAUGGUUAAUUUUAGACAUCUACUUGAGUGGAUUAAGAGACACACAUAGCUGGUCAAACACAAUUUCAGCCAUGAAUCAGGCAUAAAUAUUCUGACGGUUAAUUUUAGACAUCUACUUGAUCGGAUUGAGAGACACACAUAGCUGGUCAAACACGAUUUCAGCCAUGAAUCAGGCAUAAAUAUUCUGACGGUUAAUUUUAGACAUCUACUUGAGUGGAUUGAGAGACACACAUAGCUGGUCAAACACAAUUUCAGCCAUGAAUCAGGCAUAAAUAUUCUGACGGUUAAUUUUAGACAUCUACUUGAGUGGAUUGAGAGACACACAUAGCUGGUCAAACACGAUUUCAGCCAUGAAUCAGGCAUAAAUAUUCUGACGGUUAAUUUUAGACAUCUACUUGACUGGAUUAAGAGACACACAUAGCUGGUGAAACACGAUUUCAGCCAUGAAUCAGGCAUAAAUAUUCUGACGGUUAACUUUAGACAUCUACUUGACUGGAUUAAGAGACACACAUAGCUGGUCAAACACGAUUUCAGCCAUGAAUCAGGCAUAAAUAUUCUGACGGUUAACUUUAGACAUCUACUUGAUUGGAUUGAGAGACACACAUAGCUGGUCAAACACAAUUUCAGCCAUGAAUCAGGCAUAAAUAUUCUGACGGUUAAUUUUAGACAUCUACUUGACUGGAUUAAGGGACACACACAGCUGGUCAAACAAUUUCAGCCAUGAAUCAGGCAUAAAUAUUCUGACAGUUAAUUUUAGACAUCUACUUGAGUGGAUUAAGAGACACACAUAGCUGGUCAAACACGAUUUCUGGGCAUAUCUAUGAGGGUGUUUCUGGAAGACACUGAGAUAACCAUGACCCAAUGUGGAUGGGCACUGAUAUGGUUUGGCUGUGUCCCCACCCAGAUCUCAUCUUGAAUUGUAGUUCCUGUAAUACCUACAUGUCGUGGGAGGGACCCAGUGGGAGGUGACUGAAUCAUGGUGGUGGUUACCGCCAUGCUGUUCUCAUGACAGUGAGUGAGUUCUCAUGAUCUGAUGGUUUUAUAAGGGGCUUUUCCCCUUUGGGUCAGCACUUCUUGUUGCUGCCAUGUGAAGAGGGAUAGCUUUGCUUCCCCUUCUGCCAUGAUUGUGAGGCCCCUGCAGCCAUGUGGAACUGUCAGCCCAUUAAACCCCUUUGUUCUUUAUAAAUUGCUCAGACUCAGGUAUUUCUUCAUAGCUGUAUAAAAAUGGAUGAAUACAGGCACCAUCCAAUUGGUUGAGAGCCCAGAUAGAAUAACAAGGAAGAGGAAAGGUGAAUUAUCUCCUUCUGAAAUGGAAACAUCCUUCUUCUCCUGCCCUUGACAUCAGAACUUCAGGGUCUCAGACCUUUGGCCUCACAAUCAGAGUUACACCAUUGGCUUCCCCGAUUCUGAGUCCUUUGUAUCUGGAGUGAGCCAUGCUACCAGCUUUCCUGGUUCUCCAACUUGGAGACAGGCUAUUGUGGAACUUCUCAGCCUCCAUAAUUAUGUGAACCAGUUCCCCUAAUGAAUCUUCUCUCAUCUAUCUACAUAUAUCCUAUUGAUUCUGCCUUUAUGGAGACCCCUGCCUAAUGUGAUUACAAUAACUACAAAAUUCACUAGUUUAUAUAGAAGACUUGGUUUUUGUCUUUGCCCCAUUUUAUAUUUGUAUUAUAACUAUGUAUCUGGAAAAUGGAACAAGUUUUUUCUUCUUUAUAUGAGGGCUAAGGCUUUUUUCUCACCAAUAUUUUUGGAGAUUUUAAAGAUUUUCUUUUUUUUUUUGACAUAGAAUCUUAUGGAGGCUGAGAAAUAAUUUUUUUUCUAUUUUAUUCUUCAGCCCCAGGUGUUUGCUUUUGCAGAUUCUUGAGCACAUUGAGAGCCUCCAAGGCAUGGAGUGGGGUGCCUGAAGUUUCAGUGAUUAUAGGGAGUUGAGAGACUCAACUGGGAAAGGAAAGGUCUAAAAGGAGGCAAUUUGGAAAAUAAAAAUUUUCUCAAAGGAGCCAUUAAAGUUGUAAAUAAUUCUUAGUAAAGUCAUGCAAACAGGAAAAGAAGUAGAAUUAGUUCCAUAUUGGUGGAACACAUAGUCAGCAGAGGUUGGAGAAGGGAGAAUUUAGUGAACUGAGAAGUUCCCAUGAAAGCAGCAAGAUCAAGAUCACAGAGACACCUUGAAACAAAAAGCCAGGAAUAACUUCCAACCCAAGAGGAGAACAGAGAGGCCUCAAAACCAAAGCUAGGAUAAGAAACUUGUAGCCCAAGAGUUAUCUUCCAGACAAAGAAGCCUGAGAUUCCAACGCAGCUUCAGAGAGUGCUCACUCAAAAUGUUACUGAAACUGUAGGCUUUUUAAUGACUUAGCCAUGCCUGCAAAAGGCAUUCCCUAAGGUGGCACAGAAGAUGGAGCCCCCAUAUCCAAAGAUAGCCAAGGAGAAAGAAAGACCCCUGUUGCCAGAGCCAGUGGGCAAAGGCAACAGAAAAGGAGACAAGGGUCCUAAUGGGAUGAGAUCCUUUCGGAUUUAGGCUUUUAUACAAACUCCUGAGAACUGGCAGGUUGACAGCCAUAAAUGGGGUACCAAACUUUCUACUCAUUGGAUUACAAGUUCUCAGGCAUCCAGAAUGAUUAACAAAAUGACAAUUUCUAGGGCUUCUGUGGGAGAGUAUGGAAAGGUCUUUUUGAACCUUUUAAUGCUGUCAAUGGAAGAAUGAUGAGGUUCAUAAAUUUGGAAAGGAGACAUUUCUUCAUUUUUAUGCUUAUUUUUAUUUUUUUUUGAGACAGAGUUUCACUCUUGUUGCCCAGGCUGGAGUGCAAUGGCGUGAUCUUGGCUCACUGCAACCUCCGCCUCCUGGGUUCAAGCGAUUCUCCUGCCUCAGCCUCCUGAUUAGCUGGGAUUACAGAUGCCCACCACCACACCUGGCUAAUUUUUUGCAGUUUUGGUAGAGACAGGGUUUCAUCAUGUUGGCCAGGCUGGUCUGAAACUCCUGACCUCAGGUGAUCCACCCACCUCGGCCUCCCAAAGUGCUGGGAUUACAGGCAUGAGCCACCCACCCAGUGAGAGAUUUAUUUUCUAUAAAGGGUUGUAGCCUGCAGGGUUGUCCUUCUGACAGGCUGGGAAGCAUAGCCUCCAGCCAGAAGCCAGAAACAGAUGCUUCAAGGAGGAGGUAAAGGAAAUAGCAACUUAUGCUGAGUGGAAUGGCCAAAUAGAUUUAUUUAAUAAGCUCUAGGAGGAGUCAUGAAUAUUUAUGGAAGGAGAAAUGCAUGCACGCACAAUUGAGUUUCUUGCUUCUUCAUGGGUCCCAUGUACAAAAAAUGGCAGUGUUAGCAUGAUCCCAGGGUGGAGUUUUCAGCCCUCUGACAUUAAAAGGUGAAGCAGAGGACAUGAAAACUUGCUCUGUGCAUCCUCUGUACGCUGGCCAGAACCUCUCCAUCGUGGGUGGUCUCUUAUCAGGCAAGAAAGGAGAGGUUGAUAUCAGUAGUGGAGGCUUUGAAAGGGCUGGUUUCUGUUAAAUCCUUAGGGAAGAAAGCCUCAUCAUGGUUAGCAAAGGAGGGGGUAUAACGAUGUGUAUCUUAACCCCAUCAUCCCAUCCUAGCAAAGCUGAGAACUCAGUUUUGAAAGUUACUCUGGGGUCCCCUCAGCCAAGAGUGGGUCUGUUCAGUCAGUUGGGAGCUUAGAAUUUAAUUUUCAUUUAUCAAUGCUAAUGGGAAAGAGUACGCUGUCUUCAUGGCAGCUGAAUUUGCAAGAAACUCCUUGGAUGGGGUUAAUGGCAGCUGUAUUUUUCUGGGAGCUGUGCUUUAAUUGGAUAAAGUAAGUUCUGGUAAGAUUUCUUCAUCUUCAGUAUCUCAAAUGUUUUCAUUUAAAUAAUCUUUAUAACAACUUUUGAUGUCUGAGUGGAUUCCCACACAGUCAUCUAUUGUAAGACUUUCUGAUUCCUUUUUUUUCCUUUGGUCAUUAUGAAUAGGGCUUCUGUAAAUAACUGCAUGGUAGCUUUUGAUGGGAAAUAACAUCAAAGUAGUUGUCAAAAUACCUAGGAAUGUUAUUUUUGGAUUGUAAGGUGAGACUUGUUUAGCUUUGGAAAAAAAUGCCCAACUUGUAAUAGGGGAGGAAAAAUAAUUUUCUGUUUUUGGAAUUCUUAGAUGGAACGCUCUGUAAAAACUGACAGAUUAAAAUGAGAAAAAGAGAAAAGUUUAAAAACAUGUAUAUCUUAUGGUUACAUGGGAUAUACUCAGGGAAAAAUGAGUAAAUCUCCAACAGGUGGCUUUCAAUUCAAGCAUAAAUACUAUCUUCAACUUAAAGAAAGAAGAUUUGAGGUGCAGUAGUGGGAAGUUAACCAGCAAAAGCACAUUAGACAGGGGUAAGGUUUGUUAUACAGAGUUAAGUCCAUGCAGUCUCCAUUGAUAAGACUCUUCAGUGAUUUAGUUAUCCUUCUCUUCUUGGUGUCGAGAGAGGUAGCUUUUAAAUGGUGAUUUCCUUUAUAGAUGUAAAUUUUCCUUACACAAGUAACUUCUACUCUGUUUUCACAACUUCCUUUGUUAGCAUUUUUUUUUCAAAAUAAUUAGCUUGGAAUAAUUUUUAAGCCAAAGGGACAUAUUUUGGGGUUGCAUAUUCUGGUUUCCUACCAUUAUAUUUUGGGGUGGCAUAGUUUGGUCUUAUACACUGUGUUCUACUGGCAAUGAAAAGAGUUCUUGUUUUUCCUCCAGCAAUUUGUCAUUUGUUAAAGAGCUUAGCAGUUCUAAGAGAUAUAGACCAGCUGUGCUAUCUUUUUGUGGUUUUCAGUUCUCUAGUAUGUUGAGCAUCUUUUUGUAAGUGUACUUGCCAUCUGUAGAUCUUCUUUGGUGAGGUGUCUGUUCAGAUCUGUGUGCAUUUUUAAUUGGGCUGUUUAACUUAUUGUUUAGUUUUAACAAUUUUUUAUAUAUUUUGAAUACAAAUUCUCAGAUCUGUAUUUUGCAAAUAUUUUCUUCAAUAUGUGGCUUGUCUUUUUGUUCUCUUAACAAGGUCUCUUCCAGAGUAUAAACUGUAAAUAUUAAGAAAUCCACAUUGUCAUUUCUUCUGUGUAUAUCAACCUUCUGUGUCAUUUGUUAA